Molecule: ribosomal RNA, 774 nt
Filed under: uncultured Neocallimastigales
Lineage: Eukaryota; Fungi; Neocallimastigomycota; Neocallimastigomycetes; Neocallimastigales
Description: partial large subunit ribosomal RNA
Rfam family: Eukaryotic large subunit ribosomal RNA
Source: RNAcentral
UAUGUGAUCGUCUCUCGCAUAUCAAUAAGCGGAGGAAAAGAAACUAACAAGGAUUCCCCUAGUAACGGCGAGUGAAGCGGGAAGAGCUCAAAUUUGAAAUCUUAAAGGGUUUCCCUUUACGAAUUGUAGUUUAAAGAAGUGUUUUCUGUUGAGGUUUUGGUAAAAGUUCUUUGGAAUAGGACAUCAUAGAGGGUGAGAAUCCCGUAUUUGACCUUUACUUUCAACUUUGUGAUACACUUUCAAAGAGUCGGAUUGUUUGGGAAUGCAGUCCAAAAUGGGUGGUAAAUUUCAUCUAAAGCUAAAUAUUGGCGAGAGACCGAUAGCGAACAAGUACCGUGAGGGAAAGAUGAAAAGAACUUUGAAAAGAGAGUUAAGCAGUACGUGAAAUUGUCAAAAGGGAAGCGUAUGACACCAGUGUUGUUUUUCUGAAAAUCAAUUAAAGAACUGUUUAUGCUAAGCUGUUUAGACUUUAUCAGCUAACUGUUUAGUUUUGAGCUUUUCUUUAAUGCACUUUUCAGUUAACAAGUCAACAUCAAUUUCUUUUGCUGUAAAAAAGCUUGAGGAAGGUGGCUUGAGAUUCGUCUUAAGUGUUUAUAGCCUCUUGCCUAUGCAGUCGGAGAGAUUGAGGUCUGCAGCGUAGAUCCUUCGGGGCUAAAUGCAUUUGUGCUAAGUUAUAGCAUUUUAUAGACAACUUGUUGACUAUGAUUUGUCUUGUAGCUUACUCGCUUAUGUUAUUUUACCUACGCUUAGGAUGUUGAGUAGCGACAUACGCAC